This 261-nucleotide ribosomal RNA is filed under the name uncultured prokaryote. RNAcentral describes it as "partial 16S ribosomal RNA". It matches the Rfam family "Bacterial small subunit ribosomal RNA", at positions 526 to 792 of the family's 1533-position model. The record is from RNAcentral.
CGUAGGGUGCGAGCGUUGUCCGGAUUUAUUGGGCGUAAAGAGCUUGUAGGCGGUUUGUCGCGUCGGGAGUGAAAACUCAGUGCUUAACACUGAGCCUGCUUCCGAUACGGGCAGACUUGAGGAAGGUAGGGGAUGAUCCUGUGAAGCGGUGGAAUGCGUAGAUAUCAGGAGGAACACCAGUGGCGAAGGCGGAUCUCUGGACCUUUCCUGACGCUGAGAAGCGAAAGCGUGGGGAGGCAAACAGGCUUAGAUACCCGGGUA